CGGGGGGCAGCAGUGGGGAAUAUUGGACAAUGGGCGCAAGCCUGAUCCAGCAAUGCCGCGUGAGUGAUGAAGGCCCUAGGGUUGUAAAGCUCUUUUACCCGGGAAGAUAAUGACUGUACCGGGAGAAUAAGCCCCGGCUAACUCCGUGCCAGCAGCCGCGGUAAUACGGAGGGGGCUAGCGUUGUUCGGAAUUACUGGGCGUAAAGCGCACGUAGGCGGCUUUGUAAGUCAGAGGUGAAAGCCUGGAGCUCAACUCCAGAACUGCCUUUGAGACUGCAUCGCUUGAAUCCAGGAGAGGUCAGUGGAAUUCCGAGUGUAGAGGUGAAAUUCGUAGAUAUUCGGAAGAACACCAGUGGCGAAGGCGGCUGACUGGACUGGUAUUGACGCUGAGGUGCGAAAGCGUGGGGAGCAAACAGGAUUAGAUACCCGAGU
Molecule: ribosomal RNA, 432 nt
Filed under: uncultured Sphingomonas sp.
Lineage: Bacteria; Pseudomonadati; Pseudomonadota; Alphaproteobacteria; Sphingomonadales; Sphingomonadaceae
Description: bacterial SSU rRNA
Rfam family: Bacterial small subunit ribosomal RNA
Source: RNAcentral